GACGAACGCUGGCGGCGUGCCUAAUACAUGCAAGUCGAGCGAAUGACGAGAAGCUUGCUUCUCUGAUUUAGCGGCGGACGGGUGAGUAACACGUGGGCAACCUGCCCUACAGAUCGGGAUAACUCAGGGAAACCUGGGCUAAUACCGGAUAAUCCUUCGAAUCACAUGUUUUGAAGUUGAAAGGCGCUUCGGCGUCACUGUAGGAUGGGUCCGCGGUGCAUUAGCUAGUUGGAGGGCUAACGGCCUACCAAGGCAACGAUGCAUAGCCGACCGGAGAGGGUGAUCGGCCACAUUGGGACUGAGACACGGCCCAAACUCCUACGGGAGGCAGCAGUAGGGAAUCUUCCACAAUGGACGAAAGUCUGAUGGAGCAACGCCGCGUGAGUGAUGAAGGUUUUCGGAUCGUAAAACUCUGUUGUAAGGGAAGAACAAGUACGUUAGGAAAUGAACGUACCUUGACGGUACCUUAUUAGAAAGCCACGGCUAACUACGUGCCAGCAGCCGCAGUAA
RNAcentral lists this ribosomal RNA (510 nucleotides) under uncultured bacterium. RNAcentral describes it as "partial 16S ribosomal RNA". It matches the Rfam family "Bacterial small subunit ribosomal RNA", at positions 28 to 523 of the family's 1533-position model. The record is from RNAcentral.